AUGGCUUGACCUGAUGGUAUCAAUAUCCCCGAUAGCAAGUUCUACCUAGGCGAUAUUGGAUAUGCAUGUCGUCCUAGUGUUCUUCCACCCUUCAAAAAAAACAGGUACCAUUUGAAUGAGUUCUCUUCUAAAAGGUACCCUAGGACUGCAUGGGAAUUGCUCAAUCUCAUACACUCUAGCCUUAGAAUUAUGGUUUAGAAGGCAUUUAGAGCUCUGAAGAAUAUAUUUAAGAUCCUAGACGAAAAGCCAUUGUACACUUUCCCUACCUAGGUUAGGCUCGUUCUUGCAUGUUGCAUCCAUAACUGGAUCAUAUAAUAGGGUUGUGAUGAGCUUGUGUUGGAGGAGGAAGAUGUGAUCGCCGAUGAUGUUGAAACCUCUGACCAUGGUGUGGAGGCAUUCGAUAGUAAAGCGUGGAAGAGCAAAAGGUUAGAAUGGGCUGUGGCAAUGUGGACAAACAUAGAUAACACAAGGAUGUGA
RNAcentral lists this ribosomal RNA (477 nucleotides) under Triticum aestivum (bread wheat). Its description in RNAcentral is "partial small subunit ribosomal RNA". The record is from RNAcentral. Lineage: Eukaryota; Viridiplantae; Streptophyta; Magnoliopsida; Poales; Poaceae.